Paramuricea clavata is the source of this 131-nucleotide non-coding RNA. NCBI's taxonomy places the organism in Eukaryota, Metazoa, Cnidaria, Anthozoa, Malacalcyonacea, Plexauridae. The record is from the annotation of a GenBank genome assembly.
ACACACUUAUAUUCUAUUGCGAGCUAUACGGGUGUCCGAAUUUCGGACACUCUUAUAUUAUAUUGCGCGCGAGUUAUAUGGGUGUCUGAAUUUCAGACAGCCAUAUAACUCGCAAUAGAAUAUAAGAGUGU